AAACCAUAAGAACAAGGGAACUAAUAAGAAACAGGGAUAUUUCAUCUCAGAUUUAAUUCAUUUCAAUCAUAGAUGCACAAUAGAAUAGGGACCAAAAGUAUGAGCAUGUUUUCAUCAUUUCAGACCCACAUAAUCACACAUAGCACAUAGUACAAACACUGCAAAUCCCACAUGCAACAGCCUAUACCAACUUAAGAACAAGGGCUCGGCCACAUAUACAUCUACCGUGAAGAGCAGAUUAGGGAUUAGGGUAGAUCUCACCAGAAAAAGGCAGGAAGCAGGAUCUUCAUCAUCCUCAUCUCACCAUCACUCAUUUCCCUGUGUUGCCAGUUUUCCUCACAAAGGAAAAAUGAAUCGGGGUAAGCAUCAUAAUUAGAUUUUGAAGAUGAUACAGGUAGUUCAUCGGAGACCACAGGAGUACACGGGCUACAGGGAAUGAGAGGGCCUUUACCUUGUUGGGCUAAAGCCAGGUGAUGUCGUUCUCUACAUCCAUCUUCAAUCACCUUAACCUCGAUCCAUGUCUCCAAAGAACUCAUCCAUUUCCAAUCAUAUGAAUCUCCGUAAUAUUUCGACAUCUAUUCGGUUAAAUCCCUCAGAUUUUGGCAAAAAUACUCUCAGAGAACGGGCGACGAAAGGCGGAAGACGAAGAGAGAGAUUGAUCUGAUUUUGGGUAAGGGUUUACAUCAUAGGGAUUUCUGGAAAGGGGGAAGACGAUGGUUGAGGCCAAAUUGGUAAGAGACGAAUGCAGAGGGGGCGGCAGUUGACACCCAAACAAGACGACGAGAGGCGGUAGGCGAAGAGAGAGGGAGGUUUCAAGCGAAACCUUCAAGCUCUAGAUUUAGGGUUUCUCUACGGCGGACUUGAAGAAUUUUGUAAAAUGGAAAUGAUUUCUCUAUCUUACAGAUUCGAUCGUCCGUUCCAAUUCCAGGCAU
This 932-nucleotide long non-coding RNA is filed under the name Salvia miltiorrhiza (redroot sage). RNAcentral describes it as "long non-coding RNA (SMIL_LNC004608)". Lineage: Eukaryota; Viridiplantae; Streptophyta; Magnoliopsida; Lamiales; Lamiaceae. The record is from RNAcentral.